GGGACCCCUGGGCCGCACCAGGAGGGUUCUGUGAUGUCACUGAAGAAACGGAUGCAGGUUAAGUUACCUACCGGCUUGUGAUGCGUUGCUGUGCUCGCAACAGAAUGGCACACUCGUAAAUCUUCUACAAGGAAAUUUUCUGAGGGUGGAUCAUUAUUUACAAAUGACAAUUCUGCUAUUACAACAACAGUAACAGCCUGUGAUUAAUAACAAUCAAGACACUCGUCAGAAAGAAUUAGUGUUUUGAAGGGAUGUAAGGUGCAGUAAAUAUUCUCCAAAAGUAACAAAGUAAAAGGUGAAAAACAACAAAAGAGAAUAGAGAAAGGUUCUCAAGCUGUCCCUUUCACAAAGAGUGUGGCUGAAUACAGAUGUGGCUGCUGUGAAGUUUUAUAUGGAUGGAUGGGCUGAACAAAAAACAGGAUCUUCUGAUUUAAAGAAAAUACCGAUAUGAGAAAA
This is a long non-coding RNA of Fukomys damarensis (Damara mole-rat), 456 nucleotides long. RefSeq lists it as uncharacterized. The record is from RefSeq and is a predicted model, not a curated record. NCBI's taxonomy places the organism in Eukaryota, Metazoa, Chordata, Mammalia, Rodentia, Bathyergidae. The transcript is spliced from 3 exons.